This is a small nuclear RNA of Monodelphis domestica (gray short-tailed opossum), 104 nucleotides long. Lineage: Eukaryota; Metazoa; Chordata; Mammalia; Didelphimorphia; Didelphidae. The record is from Ensembl.
GUGCUUGAUUGAGCAACACAUAUACUCAAAAUGGAAAAAUACAAAGAUUAGCAUAGCUCCUGCCCAAAGAUGACACCCAGAUCUGUGAAAUGUUCCACAUUUUU